RNAcentral lists this ribosomal RNA (497 nucleotides) under uncultured bacterium. RNAcentral describes it as "partial 16S ribosomal RNA". It matches the Rfam family "Bacterial small subunit ribosomal RNA", at positions 28 to 507 of the family's 1533-position model. The record is from RNAcentral.
GACGAACGCUGGCGGCGUGCCUAAUACAUGCCAGUUGAGCGCUGAAGGUUGGGACUUGUACCAACUGGAUGAGCAGCGAACGGGUGAGUAACGCGUGGGGAAUCUGCCUUUGAGCGGGGGACAACAUUUGGAAACGAAUGCUAAUACCGCAUAAAAACUUUAAACACAAGUUUUAAGUUUGAAAGAUGCAAUUGCAUCACUCAAAGAUGAUCCCGCGUUGUAUUAGCUAGUUGGUGAGGUAAAGGCUCACCAAGGCGAUGAUACAUAGCCGACCUGAGAGGGUGAUCGGCCACAUUGGGACUGAGACACGGCCCAAACUCCUACGGGAGGCAGCAGUAGGGAAUCUUCGGCAAUGGACGAAAGUCUGACCGAGCAACGCCGCGUGAGUGAAGAAGGGUUUCGGAUCGUAAAACUCUGUUGGUAGAGAAGAACGUUGGUGAGAGUGGAAAGCUCAUCAAGUGACGGUAACUACCCAGAAAGGGACGGCUAACUACGUG